GUGCCGCAUCAUCCGCCCCGGCAGACUGGGAGCGUGUAAUCGGCAUCGCCACUACAAAGCAUAAAAGCGCAAGUUAGUAACCCACGCUGUCGCAUCCCCGCUCAAAAAGAUAAAACCCCAAAUCAUGCGAAAGUAAGGAAGUGUCCUCCACUACUAACUCCCGAUGUUACGUUGUCGGCCGCCAACGUAACCCUCCGCGAAGUUAGAAGCCAUACACUCCGAUCAAACUCUAACUUUUUAGAGUUGUCAUAAACCCAAUCACAAUACUUUCGCUCACAAGUCAAUUAGACCCCGUCUCUCACGAGCCUAAUUCCUAUAGUCCAACCGGCCUAAGGUUCGCUAGGUCUGUUAGAUGUAUGCCCUAGAAGCCAACCAGGCCGACACAUAUAUUCUUUCUAGGACAUAAAUUUGUAUUUGACUUUUAAAUAUUAUGAAUAACUUUGGGUUUUUAUUUCCAUUCAUGUUGUGUAUGUGUCCAUGAAUCGUCCAAGGAAUUAAUAAGAUGAUGACAUAUAUUCUCAAGUGUUGAGAAUUUGAGACAUGUGUCAUUGGUGAUUAAUUCCUAAAUGCUCCCGAUCAAUGGAUCAUCACGGGGACGGUGAUUGAUCCGAUGAGAUUGGUGCAUAAGUCGCUUCCCUUUUGGGUAGACGAGUCUCGAGUCAACAGUGUGGGGACACUGAAGCGAAUAUGCAGGUGGUUGUUAGAGAACAAGGGUACCGAGCGUGACCAACGCGAGAAGUCACUUGGAUGUCUACUCACUCGUCAGUGACUUACUCAAUUGUUGCAGUAGUGUGACUGGUCCUUUGACCAGCGGUGCCUCGGCUAUUCACAAUGAGGUUACUGUAGUUUGACUGUACAUACACUUGGUCCCUAGCCAUUUGGGUCCUUGUGGUGCAUGUUGGCUGCAGUAGGUUCAUUGUAGGAAUAGGGUGCGCACUUAGAUGGAAUCUAUCUCCCUUGGUAGAUAGGGGUGUUAGUCCUAUGUGAUUUAUGAGACCGAGUUUAGAAGACCUUGGCCAGGGCAGAAUAAAUAGCGGAAAAGGGUUUCCGAUAUUAGAAACUCGAGUCGAAUAAAUUUAACAUAUGACAGACGAUGGGGUUUGACGAGUUAUUCCAUAACCUCCGUCUAGUCGGGACUCAUGAUAGAAGGAUUGUAUCACACCGGUAACUGCACCAAGAGGUUCAUUAUUCCAUUCUACUGGAAUGCCACUACAUGCUGCUAGGCGUCACUGGUGGAUGGUGAGACUCAUGAGAAUUAUCUAGAUGAUCGAUAAUUCUUAUUGGGCUGAGUUGGAAUUGUUCCGAUCCAUUGAAAAGAGUUUCAGUGAUAUUGUUGAUAGUGAUCAAAAUAUAUCUCACUACCAGAUAGAAUAGAACCUAUGGGGUCACACACAUAAGAGGUUGUGAUUGAUCGAAUAGCUAGAUUGCGAUUAUUGAAUCGUCGGAGGACCUAAUUGUCAAUAUAAUGAUAAUUGGACUAAUUUGUAAUUGUUACAAAUUAGUGGUAUUAAGGUGUAACUGUUACAAGAGAGGACUUACUAAUAGUUAGUAAAUUAUAAGAGGACUUAUGUGCAAAUGUUGCAUUAUUAAUUUGAUAUGAUCAAAUUAAUAUAAAGAUCGAAUCAAAUUAGGAUUUGAUCGAUCUAACCAAUUAAGGAAAGGAUAAAUUUAAUCUAGAUUUAUACUUAUCCUUAAUUGUCAUUAUAUUAUUAGGAAUAGGAUUAUAUUCCUAUAUAUAAUAUACGGGAGUUUUUAGAAAACCCAAGCCGUCAUCUAUCCUCUCUUCUCUCUUCCAUCUUCUAGCAAGAAAGACGUCCUUUUGCAAGGGAGCUAGCACCCCGGUGAGGACAUCGAUCAAAUCAAGAACCUCGUGUGGAUACCUAUAGAGGUCGGACGCGUGUGCGGCUUCAAGAGAACCCGAUUCUACGAUCAUCAAAUUGAGGUGAAGAUCUAUCAACGAAAAAGGUAAAGAUUCGAUCUUGUUUUUCUUCUUUAAUCUUAAAACAUGAGGGAUCCUAAUUGCGUGGUUUUUGAGAUUGGAUCUCGAGAGUUUUCUAAAAUCAAAUUUGUUUGAUUUCUUUUUCCGCUGCGUUUUUACCGUACGCAAUUUUCUAACAAGGUCCACUAAGACUCAAC
This 2136-nucleotide long non-coding RNA is filed under the name Ananas comosus (pineapple). RNAcentral's name for it is "long non-coding RNA (ACOM_LNC019917)". Lineage: Eukaryota; Viridiplantae; Streptophyta; Magnoliopsida; Poales; Bromeliaceae. The record is from RNAcentral.